This is an RNA transcript of Eurytemora carolleeae, 1613 nucleotides long. It is a transcript of the gene named caspase, with no coding region annotated. The transcript has 6 exons. Lineage: Eukaryota; Metazoa; Arthropoda; Copepoda; Calanoida; Temoridae. The record is from RefSeq and is a predicted model, not a curated record.
UAGUUCUGUGCAAACACUCAGGAAAGAAUAAACCCAACUCUGUUUAAAAAAUAUUACAGCAUUAUAAACAAAGGUGUAUUUCAAGGGGUUUAUUGUUUUAUUUGUAGGAUGGAUUCCAAAGAAAAUAUCAAGAUUGUCCAGGAAAACUUGAAAAAUGAUUUGAAAGAGGAUGAUAUUAAUAUUGUUGAAACUGAAGUUGCUACCAUGGGUGUAGACGAACAGGAUGCUAAACCUGCAGCUGAGAUUAACAAAGAGAUCAGUGAAGAUGAGAGUGAUGCCAAAAGCUUCAUUAGAGAGAUUUUUCAAAGCCAUCAUCAUCAAGACCAUCACGAGAAGAAAGAGCAAGAGGAGUUUAAGCCUCCUCUAAAGGAAUCUGAUGAGGAGAAGUUGAUACGGCUUGUGAAGAUCAAUGGCAAUGAUACAUAUUCAACAGAAGGAAAACGCCGGGGGAUUUGUAUGAUCUUUGAGAAUGAUAUGUUCCACACUGAUCUUGGCCUUAGUAAGAGGAAGGGAUCAAAUGUGGAUCGAGUUCUCAUGAUAGAUGUUUUCACUAAACUCCAGUUUGAGGUCAGGGUCUUCCAAAACCUGACAACAACUGAGAUUCUUCAGAAGCUUGAGGCAGCAAGGUUUGAGGAUCAUUCCCAUUCAGACAUGUUUGCUAUAGUUAUACUCAGUCACGGAAAUGAAGGUAUCUUGUACGGAUAUGACCGUCCUUAUGCAGUACAGAAGAUUUGGGAACCAUUUACUGCAGCCAACUGUGAAGAUCUGGCAGGAAAGCCUAAACUCUUCUUCAUACAGGCCUGCCAAGGAAGCCAGAUAGACCACGGGGUGACAGUCGAGGAGAAAAAGAAGAGUAGAACAGAAACUGAUGGAUUUGCUUCCUACAGGACACCUCUUCAUUCAGACUUUAUGAUUGCACACAGUACUGUUGCAGGAUAUUACAGCUGGAGGAAUACUGUUCAGGGCUCUUGGUUUAUUCAGGUGCUAGGUGCUGCCCUGCUGGUGAAUGCCUCCAAGGUGGAUCUGAUCAGUAUCCUUACUAAAGUGUCAAAUGUCUAGGUGCUAGGUGCUGGCCUGCUGGUGAAUGCCUCCAAGGUUGACCUGAUCAGUAUCCUUACUUAAGUGUCAAAUGUCUAGGUGCUAGGUGCUGCCCUGCUGGUGAAUGCCUCCAAGGUGGAUCUGAUCACUAUCCUUGCUAAAGUGUCACAUGUCUAGUUACUAGGUGCUGCCCUGCUGGUGAAUGCCUCCAAGGUUGAACUGAUCAGUAUCCUUACUAAAGUGUCACAUGUCUAGGUGCAAGGUGCUGCCCUGCUGGUGAAUGCCCCCAAGGUGGAUCUGAUCACUAUCCUUACUAAAGUGUCACAUGUCUAGGUGCUAGGUGCUGCCCUGCUGGUGAAUGCCUCCAAGGUGGAUCUGAUCAGUAUCCUUACUAAAGUGUCACGUGUUGUGGCCAGGGAGUAUGAAAGCAAUUCAUCUCAAAGGGAUUUCAACCAGAAGAAGCAGAUUCCCUUUAUCUAUUCAACUCUCACAGACAAAAUCCUCCUGAAGUCCAAGAAUGAAAAGGAACAAAAUUAAACCAAUUUCAUCUUGUUAAUAAAGUUUUACAAUGUAAA